This 635-nucleotide long non-coding RNA is filed under the name Ananas comosus (pineapple). Its description in RNAcentral is "long non-coding RNA (ACOM_LNC013554)". The record is from RNAcentral. Lineage: Eukaryota; Viridiplantae; Streptophyta; Magnoliopsida; Poales; Bromeliaceae.
CUUGAUCUAGUUGUUUAGCCUUGGGCGGAUAGGGGAGGUCCUGUGUAAGGUACCGGACUUCUAAAAUUAUGAAGUUACGGUGUACAUUUGUUUGAAAGCCAUAUUUGAAUGGUUCCGGUGAGGUUGCAGUGGAAUGUAAUAUACCGGAUUUUAAAUAUGAAAAUAGAAAUAAAUAAAAAUAGUAUGAGAUACAAUUUUUAUUGGAUUUAGAGAAGUGAAAUAUAAUUUGGAAAUGACCUGUGCUGAAAUCGGAGCGAAAACAGAAGAUUUAGAAUUUUCUGUGAGAAACGAGGCAGAUAAAUUAGCAAAAAAUGCACAGUGUCAGAAAAUUAUGAAAAUUGGAGGAUAUGUCAGAAUUAUUUUUAUGAGGCUAGAUUUCAAGUUUCAUGUCAUUCUGACACUCGAAGGUGGAAAAUAAAAUCCGACAGCUAUCUGAUAAAGAUUACAGUUCGGUACAGUUUUCGGUGAUCAAACGGGGUAGAAACUGAAAUAUUAAAAUUUCUUUGGACUCGUUAAGUAAAACCGAAUAUGACCGUCAAAUUUGAGCUCAAACGGAUAUUUAGGGAGCUCUGGCGAAAGAUAUUAGAUUUCGAACUGCCCGAAAGUGAAUAGUGUUUGAGGGUGUAAUGUAUAAA